Molecule: ribosomal RNA, 372 nt
Filed under: uncultured bacterium
Lineage: Bacteria
Description: bacterial SSU rRNA
Rfam family: Bacterial small subunit ribosomal RNA
Source: RNAcentral
ACGUAGGUUGCAAGCGUUGUCCGGAUUUACUGGGUGUAAAGGGCGUGUAGGCGGAGGUGCAAGUUGGGAGUGAAAUCCCGGGGCUCAACCCCGGAACUGCUUUCAAAACUGUACCCCUUCAGUGUCGGAGAGGCAAGCGGAAUUCCUAGUGUAGCGGUGAAAUGCGUAGAUAUUAGGAGGAACACCAGUGGCGAAGGCGGCUUGCUGGACGAUAACUGACGCUGAGGCGCGAAAGCGUGGGGAGCAAACAGGAUUAGAUACCCUGGUAGUCCACGCUGUAAACGAUGAAUACUAGGUGUGGGAGGACUUACCCCUUCCGUGCCGCAGUUAACACAAUAAGUAUUCCACCUGGGGAGUACGACCGCAAGGUUG